CCUACGGGUGGCAGCAGUGGGGAAUAUUGCACAAUGGGGGAAACCCUGAUGCAGCGACGCCGCGUGAGUGAAGAAGUAGUUCGGUAUGUAAAGCUCUAUCAGCAGGGAAGAAAAUGACGGUACCUGAUUAAGAAGCCCUGGCUAACUACGUGCCAGCAGCCGCGGUAAUACGUAGGGGGCAAGCGUUAUCCGGAUUUACGGGGUGGAAAGGGAGAGUAGACGGCAGCACAAGUCUGGAGUGAAAGUCCGGGGAUUAACCCCGGAACUGCUUUGUAAACUGUGCAGCUGGAGUGCAGGAGAGGUAAGUGGAAUUCCUAGUGUAGCGGUGAAAUGCGUAGAUAUUAGGAGGAACACCAGUGACGAAGGCGGCUAACUGGCCUGUAACUGACGUUGAGGCUCGAAAGCGUGGGGAGCAAACAGGAUUAGAUACCCGAGUAGUC
Molecule: ribosomal RNA, 440 nt
Filed under: uncultured bacterium
Lineage: Bacteria
Description: partial 16S ribosomal RNA
Rfam family: Bacterial small subunit ribosomal RNA
Source: RNAcentral